AACGAACGCUGGCGGCAUGCCUAACACAUGCAAGUCGAACGAGACCUUCGGGUCUAGUGGCGCACGGGUGCGUAACGCGUGGGAACCUGCCCUUAGGUUCGGAAUAACUCCCCGAAGGGGGUGCUAAUACCGGAUAAUGUCUUCGGACCAAAGAUUUAUCGCCUUUGGAUGGGCCCGCGUUGGAUUAGCUAGUUGGUAGUGUAAAAGCCUACCAAGGCGACGAUCCAUAGCUGGUCUGAGAGGAUGAUAAGCCACACUGGGACUGAGACACGGCCCAGACUCCUACGGGAGGCAGCAGUGGGGAAUAUUGGACAAGGGGCGAAAGCCUGAUCCAGCAAUGCCGCGUGAGUGAUGAAGGGCUUAGGGUUGUAAAGCUCUUUUACCCGGGAUGAUAAUGACAGUACCGGGAGAAUAAGCGCCGGCUAACUCCGUG
This 433-nucleotide ribosomal RNA is filed under the name uncultured bacterium. Its description in RNAcentral is "partial 16S ribosomal RNA". It matches the Rfam family "Bacterial small subunit ribosomal RNA", at positions 29 to 507 of the family's 1533-position model. The record is from RNAcentral.